AUUGAACGCUGGCGGAAUGCUUUACACAUGCAAGUCGAGCGGCAGCGCGGCCUUCGGGCUGGCGGCUAGCGGCGAACGGGUGAGUAAUGCAUCGGAACAUGCCCAGUCGUGGGGGAUAACACUUCGAAAGAAGUGCUAAUACCGCAUACGUCCUGCGGGGGAAAGCGGGGGAUCGCAAGACCUCGCGCGAUUGGAGUGGCCGAUGUCAGAUUAGCUAGUUGGUGGGGUAAGGGCCUACCAAGGCGACGAUCUGUAGCUGGUCUGAGAGGAUGAUCAGCCACACUGGGACUGAGACACGGCCCAGACUCCUACGGGAGGCAGCAGUGGGGAAUUGUGGACAAUGGGGGCAACCCUGAUCCAGCCAUUCCGCGUGAGUGAAGAAGGCCUUCGGGUUGGAAAGCUCUUUCGGCAGGAACGAAACGGUGGGCUCUAACAUAGUCCGCUAAUGACGGUACCUGAAGAAGAAGCACCGGCUAACUACGUG
RNAcentral lists this ribosomal RNA (484 nucleotides) under uncultured bacterium. Its description in RNAcentral is "partial 16S ribosomal RNA". It matches the Rfam family "Bacterial small subunit ribosomal RNA", at positions 29 to 507 of the family's 1533-position model. The record is from RNAcentral.